UACGGGGGGGGUAAGCGUUGUUCGGAAUUACUGGGCGUAAAGGGCUCGUAGGCGGCCAACUAAGUCAUACGUGAAAUCCCUCAGCUUAACUGGGGAACUGCGUGUGAUACUGGAUGGCUUGGAUUUGGGAGAGGGAUGCGGAAUUCCAGGUGUAGCGGUGAAAUGCGUAGAUAUCUGGAGGAACACCGGUGGCGAAGGCGGCAUCUUGGACCAAUAUUGACGCUGAGGUGCGAAAGCGUGGGGAGCAAACAGG
This 253-nucleotide ribosomal RNA is filed under the name uncultured bacterium. Its description in RNAcentral is "partial 16S ribosomal RNA". It matches the Rfam family "Bacterial small subunit ribosomal RNA", at positions 524 to 776 of the family's 1533-position model. The record is from RNAcentral.